GGAGAAAGAAAGAAGAUGGCAGGAAAGAAAAUCCCACAUGUGUUGCUGAAUUCUGGACACAAAAUGCCAGUUAUAGGCAUGGGAACUUCAGUGGAGAAUCGUCCAUCAAAUGAGACCCUUGCUUCAAUCUAUGUUGAAGCCAUUGAGGUUGGUUACCGUCAUUUUGACACUGCUGCAGUGUAUGGAACAGAGGAAGCCAUAGGCCUAGCCGUGGCCAAUGCCAUAGAAAAAGGCCUAAUAAAGAGUAGAGAUGAAGUUUUCAUCACUUCAAAACCUUGGAACACAGAUGCACGCCGUGAUCUUAUUGUCCCAGCUCUCAAGACCACAUUAAAGAAGCUGGGGACGCAGUAUGUGGAUCUUUAUCUGAUUCAUUGGCCAGUGAGGCUGAGACAUGAUCUUUAAAAUCCAACUGUUUUUACCAAGGAAGAUUUUCUGCCCUUUGAUAUAGAAGGGACAUGGAAAGCUAUGGAAGAGUGUUACAAGUUGGGAUUAGCAAAGUCCAUUGGCAUAUGCAAUUAUGGUGUCAAAAAACUCACCAAACUCUUGGAAAUAGCCACCUUUCCUCCUGCAGUCAAUCAGGUGGAAAUGAACCCAUCUUGGCAGCAAGGAAAACUCAGGGAGUUCUGCAAGCAGAAAGGAAUUCAUGUUAGUGCUUGGUCAGCUCUUGGUGCUUAUAAGAUAUUUUGGGGCUCUGGAGCUGUCAUGGAGAAUCCAAUCCUCCAAGACAUAGCAAAGGCAAAAGGGAAGACCAUAGCUCAGGUUGCACUUAGAUGGGUGUACCAACAAGGGUCAAGUGCCAUGGCUAAAAGCACUAACAGGGAGAGGAUGAAGCAGAACCUGGACAUAUUUGAUUUUGAGCUGAGUGAAGAAGAUUUAGAGAGGAUCAGUCAGGUUCCUCAGCGCAGGCAAUACACGGGGGACAUGUGGCUAUCUGAAAAUGGGUCUUGCAAGACCUUGGAAGAACUUUGGGAUGGAGACGUUUGAGUAUUUCUUCAAGGGUCAAACUAUGUUUUAGGAUAAAAAUUAUGAAAAUAAGCAAGAUUUGAUUUCCAUGUUAUUAAGAUGUCUUGUACUACUAUUAUCAUUAUGGUUGGCUCAGUCUUCAUAUAAGGACCUAGCUGCCCUUAAUUAGUUUUAUUUCACAAGUGCCCUUGCUUGUGACCUUGAGUAGAAUAAGAGUGUGGCAUUUUUAUCAUA
RNA transcript from Glycine soja, 1197 nucleotides. It is a transcript of the gene named methylecgonone reductase-like, with no coding region annotated. The record is from RefSeq and is a predicted model, not a curated record. The transcript has 4 exons. Lineage: Eukaryota; Viridiplantae; Streptophyta; Magnoliopsida; Fabales; Fabaceae.